GGUCAAGCUACAAAGGGCGCAUGGUGAAUGCCUUGGCAUCAGGAGCCGAUGAAGGACGCGAUAAGCUGCGAUAAGCUUCGGGUAGACGCACAUAGUCAGAGAUCCGAAGAUUUCCGAAUGAGGAAACUCACAUGGGAAACCCCAUGUAUCGUAAAGUGAAUACAUAGCUUUAUGAAGGUAAACCCAGGGAACUGAAACAUCUAAGUACCUGGAGGAAGAGAAAGAAAAAUCGAUUUUCUUAGUAGCGGCGAGCGAAAGGGAAAGAGCCCAAACCAAAGAUUUAUCUUUGGGGUUGCGGACAGAACAUUAACGAGAAAUUAUGGUUAACCGAACACAACUGGAAAGUUGGACCGUAGGGGGUAAUAGU
Molecule: ribosomal RNA, 367 nt
Filed under: Clostridium botulinum
Lineage: Bacteria; Bacillati; Bacillota; Clostridia; Eubacteriales; Clostridiaceae
Description: partial 23S ribosomal RNA
Rfam family: Bacterial large subunit ribosomal RNA
Source: RNAcentral